CAUAAACAUAUUCCAAUUUUAUUUUUUAUUUUCCCUAACUAUUGUUACAUGUGACUCUUUCUCUCUCUCUCUCUCUCUCUCUCUCACACUAUAAAACCUACACACACAAUCACACACUACCCGUCCAGCCUCCAAGUCUAGACCCAAAUGGGCCCUACUCCGACGCCCCCCUCCGCCCCCCAGAUCCGGCGAACCACCAGCGCCGGCGGCGGCAGCGGCUCCAUCAUUCUCGACAAAUACCAGCUCGGCCGCCUCCUCGGCCGCGGCAGCUUCGCCAAGGUGUACCUCGCCCGCCUCCUCGACCACCCCGACGCCGCCGAGGUGGCCAUCAAGGUCAUCGACAAGGCCGCCACCGUGGACGCCGCCAUGGAGCCCCGCAUCGUCCGCGAGGUCUCCGCCAUGCGCCGCCUCCACCACCACCCCAACAUCCUCAACCUCCACGAGGUCAUGGCCACCAAAACCAAAAUCUACCUGGUCAUGGAGCUGGCCCCCGGCGGCGAGCUCUUCGCGAAGCUCAGCCGCUGCCGCCGCUUCUCCGAAUCGGCCGCCCGCAGGUACUUCCACCAGGUCAUCUCCGCGCUCCGAUUUUGCCACCAGAACGGCGUCUUCCACCGCGACAUCAAGCCGCAGAAUCUCCUCCUCGACCACAACGGCAUCCUCAAAAUCACCGACUUCGGCCUCUCCGCCCUCUCCGAGCACAAAAUCGACGGCCUCGUCCGCACCGCCUGCGGCACGCCGGCCUACACCGCGCCGGAGGUCGUCUCCCGCAAGGGCUACGACGGCGAGAAGGCCGACGCCUGGUCAUGCGGGGUUCUCCUCUACGUUUUCCUAGUCGGCAACCUCCCCUUCGACGACACCAAUUUAUCAAACAUGUACCGCGCAAUGCACCGCCGCGCCCUAGAAUUCCCCGAUUGGGUCUCGAAAUCGGCCAAAAUCGUGAUCUACAGAUUACUCGAUCCAAACCCUAGCACGAGGCUGAGCCUCGACGAAUUAAUCAAGCACUCCUGGUUUAAGAAGUCGUUCUCGGAGGAGAAUCUGAGAUCGCAAGGCGACGACAAGGCGGGAUCGGGAUCGGAGUUUCUCGAUUCCAAGGGGUUCAAAUUCAUGCCGAGAGUGAAUGCUUUCGACUUGAUCUCGAUGUCGUCGGGGCUGAAUUUAUCGGGGCUGUUCGAGGAGGAGACGAGUAGUAAGGAGAUGAGAUUUACCAGUGGGAUGGCGGUGGUGGAGAUUGAGGAGAAGGUGAGGAAGGCCGGGCUCGAAUUCGGGUACACAGUGGAGAGGGGGAAGGGCGGAGGUAUCAGGCUGGUGAAGGGGAGGGCGGUGGCGGUGGUGGUGGAGAUAUGGGAGGUCGCGGCGGAGCUGUGGUUGGUGGAGUUGAGAUUGAUCGACGGCGCGGCGGAGUUCGGCGAGUUGCAGUGGGGGGAGCUGCGAUCAAUCUUCACUAGGAACGACGUCGUUGCAUAGAAAUAGGAAAAUGACAGCAGGCAGCCCAGAAAAAACCCAAAAAAAGAAAAAGAAGAAGAAGAAGAAGGAUAGGAAGCCAUCUGUUGCUCGAACUGGGAAGUGAACGGGGAAAGAAGAAAGUAUAUCUUUUGUUGGUAUAACUAUGGUCGAGCCAUGGUGGACGCUGCUGGGGGCUGCUGUCGUCCCAGUUAUCAUUGCUGGUAAAGCUUUGAGAACGAGAGCAAGACAUGUUGAGGAGCAAAGAUUAAGAAGUGCAUGGAGCCGGGAGAAGAGUGGGGAUGAUAUCUUUGUGUGUGAGAGAGUUUGCACAUCGAAGAGGAUGUUGAAGAAAGUAGGAGCCUUCGCCAAGGAUCCCAUCCCGGAUACUUGCAUUACAGUAUGCGGUGUUUCUGAGCUCGAUGCUUGUGCUGAUGCCUGUGCUCGAACUGUGUGUGUCAACCAACAUCAAGUACCCAACUGGAACGACAUCUGCCUCCGGAGAUGCCAGAGUGAGUGCCUCAAAUUAUCCGAUUCUCGCAUUCCACGUUGAAUCAUUCGAUGAUUGUGUUAUCUGAUUUAACUCCUCAGCAGUUAUGUUCUUGCUGCUAUCUUUGUUGGAUGUAUUACCAGCAAGCUAUUUAUUGAUCAUGUUUUUUAGCCUUUGUUAAGAUAUAAAAGAAUUGGCCAAUUUCUAUGUUAUAUAAGAAGCCAAGGUUCUGAUUA
Salvia miltiorrhiza (redroot sage) is the source of this 2166-nucleotide RNA transcript. It is a transcript of the gene named CBL-interacting serine/threonine-protein kinase 7-like, with no coding region annotated. The record is from RefSeq and is a predicted model, not a curated record. The transcript is spliced from 3 exons. NCBI's taxonomy places the organism in Eukaryota, Viridiplantae, Streptophyta, Magnoliopsida, Lamiales, Lamiaceae.